RNAcentral lists this ribosomal RNA (467 nucleotides) under uncultured bacterium. RNAcentral describes it as "bacterial SSU rRNA". It matches the Rfam family "Bacterial small subunit ribosomal RNA", at positions 328 to 793 of the family's 1533-position model. The record is from RNAcentral.
UUUCCAGACUCCUACGGGAGGCAGCAGUGAGGAAUAUUGGUCAAUGGCCGGAAGGCUGAACCAGCCAAGCCGCGUGAAGGACGAAGGUGCCAAGCCUUGUAAACUUCUUUUGUCAAGGGACAAAAUCAGGCUCGAGAGCCUGACCGAGGGUACUUGAAGAAAAAGCAUCGGCUAACUCCGUGCCAGCAGCCGCGGUAAUACGGAGGAUGCGAGCGUUAUCCGGAUUUAUUGGGUUUAAAGGGUGCGUAGGCGGACUGUUAAGUCGGGGGUAAAGCCCCGGGGCCCACCCCCGGCGAGCCGUUGAAACUGGCUGUCUUGAGAUGUCGAGAGGUAUGCGGAAUGCGCAGUGUAGCGGUGAAAUGCAUAGAUAUCACGCAGAACUCCGAUUGCGAAGGCAGCAUACCGGCGCUCAACUGACGCUCAUGCACGAAAGUGUGGGUAUCGAACAGGAUUAGAUACCCUUGUAA